UAACUCUGGUUUCUCUUCAGUCAUGCCUAUAUCUUUUGCCUUUUACUAACAAUUUCUGUGGAGAGGAACAUCAAUGAGUUUGAUGUAUUUUUGUGAGCUUUGCUCUGGCAAAGCU
Hemibagrus wyckioides is the source of this 115-nucleotide small nuclear RNA. RefSeq annotates it as U5 spliceosomal RNA. Lineage: Eukaryota; Metazoa; Chordata; Actinopteri; Siluriformes; Bagridae. The record is from RefSeq and is a predicted model, not a curated record. The transcript has a single exon.